Molecule: long non-coding RNA, 425 nt
Organism: Lytechinus pictus (painted urchin)
Lineage: Eukaryota; Metazoa; Echinodermata; Echinoidea; Temnopleuroida; Toxopneustidae
Exons: 2
Source: RefSeq, a predicted model, not a curated record
AAGAAUAUUUUUAUUGGUUAUCUUUUAUACAGUCUCCAAGCAAGCCAAAGAAGGAGGAAAAAUUCAAGAAUUUUGUCAAAUCAAAGUUCCAUCUCGCAGAAACAAAGAAAAUCCAAGAGCUCUGGUCGUGGUAUAAAAGCACCCAACUGAAAUGAAAGUAAAAGAAUGUGAACGUAGCAUAGCAUAUCUAGUCAAAGGACCGUUUAUGAACUGUCAACUCUACGUACCUCAGGCGGGAUGGUGAAGCUGAACAGAGGUUAUGUUCGACAUAAUUUCAUCAAUCAACCAUGGAUUUCGAAAAUCAUUUGAAAAAAAUUAUCUGGAAGAAUUAUGUGAGGAUAAAAGAGGAAAUGUAAUUGUUUUAUUGUGACAGGGAUUUCAUUUAAUGAGAUUUAUGAAAUGUAAUUUUGUUUGGUGAUAACACC